UUUAGGCGAAGUCAUUGAUUCCAUACUUCCAAGAAAAACUUCUAGUUAGUUUUAUUAGUGCCCGUACCCCAAACCGACACAGGUGGACAAGUAGAGAAUACUAAGGCGAGCGAGAGAACUCUGGUUAAGGAACUCGGCAAAAUAGUUCCGUAACUUCGGGAGAAGGAACGCCCAAGUAAAGUGAUUAAUUAACUUUAUAAGCUUGAAAGGGCCGCAGUGAUCAGACUCAAGCGACUGUUUAUCAAAAACACAGGAGGAUGCAAAGUUCUAAUACAACGUAUAUCCUCUGACACCUGCCCGGUGCUGGAAGGUUAAGUGGAGAGGUUAGCUUCGGCGAAGCUUUGAAAUUAAGCCCCAGUAAACGGCGGCCGUAACUAUAACGGUCCUAAGGUAGCGAAAUUCCUUGUCGGGUAAGUUCCGACCUGCACGAAUGGUGUAACGAUUUGAGUACUGUCUCAACCAGAGACUCGGCGAAAUUGCAAUGUGAGUAAAGAUGCUCACUAUGCGCGACAGGACGGAAAGACCCCGGAACCUUUACUGCAACUUGAUAUUGAAUGUUGGUAUGCAGUAUGCAGGAUAAGUGGGAGACUUUGAAACAGUGGCGCUAGUCAUUGUGGAGUCAUCCUUGAGAUACCACUUUCUUCAUAUUGACCUUCUAACCUAGAUCCGUUAUCCGGAUCAGGGACAUUGUCUGGUAGGCAGUUUCACUGGGGCGGUGGCCUCCGAAAAAGUAACGGAGGCGCUCUAAGGUCACCUCAGCGUGGACGGCAAUCACGCAUUGAGUGUAAGUGCAAAAGGUGGCUUGACUGUGACACAAACAAGUGAAGCAGGUACGAAAGUAGGAACUAGUGAUCCCAUGGUUGCAUGUGGGUGCGCCAUGGCUCAUCGGCUAAAAGGUACUCCGGGGAUAACAGGCUUAUACCCCCCAAGAGUCCAUAUCGACGGGGGUGUUUGGCACCUCGAUGUCGGCUCUUCUCAUCCUGGGGCUGGAGCAGGUCCCAAGGGUUAGGCUGUUCGCCUAUUAAAGAGGAACGCGAGCUGGGUUCAGAACGUCGUGAGACAGUUCGGUCCCUAUCCGUCGCGCACGUAAGAAAUUUGAAGAAAGUUGUCCCUAGUACGAGAGGACCGGGAUGAACGAUCCGCUGGUGUGCCAGUUGUUCUGCCAAGAGCACGGCUGGUUGGCUACGAUCGGACAGGAUAAGCACUGAAAGCAUCUAAGUGCGAAGCCCCUUCUAAGAUAAGAUUUCUCAUCGGGUUAACCGAUUAAGACUCCUUAUAGAACAUGAGGUUGAUAGGUCAGAAGUGUAAGUACAGUAAUGUAUGUAGCUGACUGAUACUAAUAAGUCGAGGGCUUGAA
This 1357-nucleotide ribosomal RNA is filed under the name marine metagenome. Its description in RNAcentral is "bacterial LSU rRNA". It matches the Rfam family "Bacterial large subunit ribosomal RNA", at positions 1580 to 2925 of the family's 2925-position model. The record is from RNAcentral.